UUUCGUGUUGAUUGAGACUUUAAUGGUCUAUACAGUUCUAUCUUUUCUAGUGACUAACGAAUGUCAAUCGGAAAUAAUUACAACCAAUAACUAUUUAUAUACUGAUAAAUAGAAACAACUUACUUAUGUAUAUAGGGUCAUACAAAGCAUGCGCGUAAAUAGUUCGUUGAGAAACAAGAUUACAGUCCCAUAUUCACAGAUAUGCCUAUGUACAUGUGUAUAUCAGUAUGUAAAACACCCUUUAUUGAAGAAGUAAACUCCCCACAUAGGUGUAAACGAGACAACGUAAGACGAAACAGGUGAAUGAUAUGUUUGAAAGAUUAACGGCGCUACUCUGGUGGAGCUGCUUUGAUAUUUGUUUGUAUUCGAGCGUAUCUUUAGAGCGUUUACUGGUUUUAAGUUGAAGUAUCAGCGGAGUGAUGAUUUAGUUUCGGACUGUUAUUGAAAACGAAUGGUUAAUGUUUUCCAAUGGUAAAUUAUAAUCGCAAGCUAACGAAUAGAUGGACUACAAGAAAAUAUAUGUGAAACGAUCGGUACUAGAGAUAUUAAAUAUGGUAAAAUGAUUUACUUUUAUAUCAACAGACACUUUACCUGGAACGUUGCAGAAAAGGAAUAUUUUACUCAAAAUAAAAACGUCAUUAACAGUGCAUUAAAAGUAACAAAAAAUAGUAUCAAAUCACUUUAAGAUCUCUUUGAUCAAAGUCUGACUCAUACGUUUAUGGUAAUACAACUAUCUGAUUUUCUAAAAAGUGUAUAUGUAACUCAAUACGCAAAAUGUUUUUACCAAUACCCUGAAAAGGGAAUAUUAAGUUUACUACGAUAUUUUUAACACUCAUAAGGAAACUUCGGAGACCCAUAUACAUACUUAUGUAUACGUAUUAUUGUUCAAAGUGACGAGUUGAGGACGAUUUAGUCAUGCCCGUCUGCCUGUCUGUCUGUAUAUACGCGAACUAGUCCCUUAGUUUUUGAGUUAGCGAUUUGAAAUUCACUCCCUUUUCUCACCAAGAAGCCGAUCGGAACCGCCGAUAUUGGGCUACUGUAGGAUAUAGCUGCCAUGCACACUGAUCGAUCAAAAUCAAGUUCUUGUAUGAAAAACUUUUUUUUGACAAGAAAUCUUCACGAAAUUUGGCAUGGAUUAUUGUCCAAGGCAAUGGUAAAAUCUUCGGAUACCUAUAUCGUUCAGAUCGGACCACUACUGAUGAUGCCAUUAAAACUGAACGAUUACAAUCAAGUUCUUGUGUAAUAAACCUUUUUAUUUGUGAAGAGUAUUAUAGCUUCGGUGCUAAUAUUAAAACCAGUAAUAAAUGUGAUUAGCGCAGAUGCAGAAUACACAUAAUUGUCUUUGAUAAUACCAUAUAACAAUGUAGUAGUGAAAAAAAUGAUGACAACAGCUGGAAAUAUAAGUUUCUGAUGGAGCUAACAAAAGUCAACGGGAAUAGCGGACUGUCUUCCUUUUGGAAGCAUCAUUUGAACGUCAAAAUAUCUAAUACGAAAUAGAUGCUCGAGUUGACUGAUUGCUAAGUGAAGACUUGAUAUCAAAAACGAAGGCAAUCUUAGCACCAUUAGUACAGAAGUCCCAUAUAUGGUAUAAAAACUAUCACCGCUCACGUGCCAAACUUUCAAGAGAUAUUGGAAAUAAAAAGUAAAAACAGGAAAACUCGCCGUAGAUUAUUAUUAUCAUAAUAUUUAUAAUAAAUUGUAAUUGUAAUGAAACACAACUUUGAAAUAUAUUUCUCAGAAAUAUUUAUAGAUCUCGUAUAGCUUGAAUUUUGAAAAAUUGUAAAGUAUUCGUAAUGUUUUAAAUGUUAAAAAAUUUACGGCAAAGUUCUAUAAUAAAACUCAGAUAUAAACUCUA
Bactrocera oleae (olive fruit fly) is the source of this 1855-nucleotide long non-coding RNA. RefSeq lists it as uncharacterized. NCBI's taxonomy places the organism in Eukaryota, Metazoa, Arthropoda, Insecta, Diptera, Tephritidae. The record is from RefSeq and is a predicted model, not a curated record.